UUGACGUUGUUCUGCCAUCUCUCUCUUACACGCCACCAAUUGCUGCUUAAAAAUCGUGUGAUCAACCAAUUUAUUUGCCGUCUGCUGUAGUUGGGAUAAUUGUACCAAAAAUUGCUCUUUCACACUGUUCUCCUCUGGUGUUCCAUGUUGAAUGUCGACUGGCCUAUUGUCUCUCUGAACCAUUGGACCCCUCUCUCGAACACUGAUUGGUUCUCCCACCUGCUGGCUUGUUUCUCCUUGUCCCUAUGGAAGUGCCAAUAAAUUGCUCCUCGGUUUUGGUAGUACUAGAGCUGCUAUCGUCUUCCCUUUCUCCGGCAACGGUUGACUCAACUCAUAAACUAUUGCAGACUGUAUAUAAUUGGAACAUAGAAUCGUUGCAAUUCUACCUGACCUGCGCUUGUAACUCAACUCUGCAUGAAUUUUGGUGGCCACGUACGCUGCCCAAUUGAACACCAUACCCUUGAAGGAGCCUAUUGUCGCAUAUAAUAAUCGUUUAGCCAUAUACGUCAUAUGUCUAUUUAAUCCCAACCUCUUCUGAACAAAGCGCAUCCACUCCAUCAAUUCUGGUGUAAGUGCAUCUGCCGUCCGCCACCCUUGAUUCCUUUCUAGCGACA
Molecule: long non-coding RNA, 614 nt
Filed under: Physcomitrium patens
Lineage: Eukaryota; Viridiplantae; Streptophyta; Bryopsida; Funariales; Funariaceae
Description: long non-coding RNA (PPAT_LNC011697)
Source: RNAcentral